GACGAACGCUGGCGGCGUGCCUAAUACAUGCAAGUCGAGCGGACGGAUGGGAGCUUGCUCCCAGCCCGUCAGCGGCGGACGGGUGAGUAACACGUGGGCAACCUGCCUGUAAGACUGGGAUAACUCCGGGAAACCGGGGCUAAUACCGGAUAACUCUUUCCCUCACAUGAGGGAAAGCUGAAAGAUGGCAUCUCGCUAUCACUUACAGAUGGGCCCGCGGCGCAUUAGCUAGUUGGUGAGGUAACGGCUCACCAAGGCGACGAUGCGUAGCCGACCUGAGAGGGUGAUCGGCCACACUGGGACUGAGACACGGCCCAGACUCCUACGGGAGGCAGCAGUAGGGAAUCUUCCGCAAAGGACGAAAGUCUGACGGAGCAACGCCGCGUGAGUGAUGAAGGUUUUCGGAUCGUAAAACUCUGUUGUCAGGGAAGAACAAGUACCGGAGUAACUGCCGGUACCUUGACGGUACCUGACCAGAAAGCCACGGCUAACUACGUG
This 498-nucleotide ribosomal RNA is filed under the name uncultured bacterium. RNAcentral's name for it is "partial 16S ribosomal RNA". It matches the Rfam family "Bacterial small subunit ribosomal RNA", at positions 28 to 507 of the family's 1533-position model. The record is from RNAcentral.